AUGCAGAAGUCGCGGAGAGACCUCAUGAAGAGGAAGGCGGCGGCCAAGGCGCACGAGCAGGGCGCGGGCGCGGCCGCCGGGAUGAGGCGGCGGCGGCUGUACGGCUUCUCCGCCUCGCUCGUCGUCGCGUCCUGGGCCGCGCUCCUCAUCCUCAACUCGCUCGUCGGCCACGGCGACGGUCAACGCGGUACGCAUGAUGGUGGAGACCCGAUUGUUGCCAUUCCCAUUGCUGGGCCUGGGCCUACAAUGAAUGAAGGUUCUGUUGGUCCUGAUGUUGUACACCAGGAGCACGAGGAGAAUUUGGCGGUGUCUGGUGACACAUGUGUUAAACUUGAUGAAAGUGUCUUGCUUUCAGAAGAGACAGUUCUGCAGGAAGAUGAAGUGUGUUCCAAGGAUGAUGCUGGAAGUGAUGACAUGGAAGCUGUAACCAAGGAUGAUCAAAUUGAUCUGUCAGAAGGCCAGGGCGAAGAACAAACUGUAACCAAGGAUGGUAAAAUUGACCUGUCAGAAGGUCAGGGUGAGGAAGGUGCUCUGACCAAGGAUGAUCAAAUUGACCUGUCAGUAGGUCAGGGUGCGGAAGAAGCUCAAACAAAUGAUGAUCAAAUUGAGCAGUCAGGAGGUCAGGGUGAGAGUCCUCAUCUGACAAACAUCGCCUCUGUAGUUCAUCCAGCGGAGAAGGUGGAUGUUGAAGAUGUUCCCAAACCAGCAAGGUUGGCACGAGUUGUUCCUCCGGGUCUUGAUGAAUUUAAGACGAGAGCAAUUGCUGAAAGGGGAAAGGAUGCCUCUAGUCAAACUGGCCAUGUGAUUCACCGAAGGGAACCUAGUGGUCAGUUGUACAAUUAUGCUUCGGCAGCUAAAGGGGCAAAGGUUCUGGAUUAUAACAAGGAGGCCAAAGGCGCUUCCAACAUUCUAGACAAAGAUAAGGAUAAGUAUCUCCGCAAUCCUUGUUCCGUGGAGGGAAAAUAUGUCAUCAUAGAGCUUUCUGAAGAAACCUUGGUAGAUACCAUUGCAAUUGCAAAUUUUGAGCAUUACUCUUCUAAUUUAAAAGAAUUUGAAAUGCUGAGCAGUCUUAUUUAUCCCACAGAAAACUGGGAAACACUUGGGAGAUUCACUGUCGCAAAUGCGAAGCAUGCUCAGAGUUUCACAUUUCCCGAGCCAAAGUGGGCGAGGUACUUGAAGUUCAAUUUGCUAAGCCAUUAUGGUUCUGCAAGCUAUUGUACACUGAGUAUGCUUGAGGUGUACGGAAUGGAUGCUGUGGAAAAGAUGCUCAAGAACUUGAUUCCAGUUGAGAAUAGAAAUGCUGAAUCUGAUGACAAAUCGAAGGAGCCAAUUGAGCAACCACCUUUGAAGGAGCCUAGUGGUGGAAAAGACUCCUCACAGGAACCCCUUGAUGAAGAUGAAUUUGAGGUAGAAGAUGAUAAGCCAAAUGGAGAUUCAUCAAGGAAUGGUGUUCAUGAUCAGAUUGUAGAGACAAGGACACUUCAGGCUGGCAGAAUUCCUGGAGAUACAGUUCUCAAGAUACUGAUGCAGAAAGUCCAGUCUCUUGAUGUGAGCUUUUCUGUAUUGGAGCGGUACCUAGAGGAACUCAACAGCAGAUAUGGACAAAUUUUUAAGGAUUUCGAUUCUGAUAUUGAUAGCAAAGAUGCGCUCUUGGAGAAGAUAAAAUUGGAGUUGAAGGAGCUUCAGAGCAGCAAAAAUGACUUUGCGAGAGAUAUUGAAAGUAUCCUUUCAUGGAAGUCAGUUGCCUCCUCGCAGUUAGACCAACUUGUCCUGGAUAAUGUCAUACUCAGAUCUGAGUAUGAGCGAUUUAGGGAUAAGCAGGUUGACCUGGAGAAUAGGAGCUUUGUUGUUAUAUUCCUGUGUUUUAUUUUUGGAUGCCUAGCCAUAGCUAAAUUGUCCAUAGGUAUGAUAUUCAAUAUUUGUAGAUUAUAUGAUUGUGAAAAGUUGGAUAGGGUAAAAUCCGGAUGGCUUGUGCUGCUGCUGAGCAGCUGCAUUGUGGCCUCCAUUUUGGUAAUACAGUGA
RNAcentral lists this ribosomal RNA (2022 nucleotides) under Triticum aestivum (bread wheat). RNAcentral's name for it is "partial small subunit ribosomal RNA". The record is from RNAcentral. Lineage: Eukaryota; Viridiplantae; Streptophyta; Magnoliopsida; Poales; Poaceae.